This 473-nucleotide ribosomal RNA is filed under the name Eurhadina (Singhardina) sp. 3 ZM-2012. RNAcentral describes it as "partial 16S ribosomal RNA". The stretch from base 350 to 473 matches the Rfam family "Bacterial large subunit ribosomal RNA", at positions 2473 to 2597 of the family's 2925-position model. The record is from RNAcentral. Lineage: Eukaryota; Metazoa; Arthropoda; Insecta; Hemiptera; Cicadellidae.
AAAUUCUGCCCUAUGAAUAUUUAAAUGGCUGCAGUAUUCUAACUGUACAAAGGUAGCAUAAUAAUUAGUCUUUUAAUUGAGGACUGGAAUGAAAGAUUAAAUGAGAAAUUUAUUUUAUUUUAUUUAAUUUUUAAAUUUUAUUUUUAGGUAAAAAAGCUUAAUUGAUUUAGCGGGACGAAAAGACCCUAUAGAAUUUUGUUUGAUAAAUUUUAUUUUUUAUAAAUUUUUAAAUAAUAAAGUUUAUUUAAAUUUGGUUGGGGUGAUAAAUAAAAUAAACUUUAUUUUUCUAAUUCAUUUAUUUAUGAUUAUAUUGAAUUAAAUUUUAGUUAAAAGAUUUAAUUACCUUAGGGAUAACAGCGUAAUUUUUAUGGAGAGUUCAUAUCUAUAUAAAAGUUUGCGACCUCGAUGUUGAAUUAAGAUUAAUUGGUGAAGAAGUAUUUACUAUUUUAAGUCUGUUCGACUUUUAAAUUCUU